GGAAUAUUGGGCAAUGGGCGAAAGCCUGACCCAGCGACGCCGCGUGCGGGAUGAAGGCCUUCGGGUUGUAAACCGCUUUCAGCAGGGAAGAAGCGAAAGUGACGGUACCUGAAGAAGAAGCACCGGCUAACUAUGUGCCAGCAGCCGCGGUAAUACAUAGGGUGCAAGCGUUGUCCGGAAUUAUUGGGCGUAAAGAGCUCGUAGGUGGUUCGUUACGUCGGAUGUGAAAACCUGAGGCUCAACCUCAGGCCUGCAUUCGAUACGGGCGAACUUGAGUGUGGUAGGGGAGGCUGGAAUUCCUGGUGUAGCGGUGGAAUGCGCAGAUAUCAGGAGGAACACCAAUGGCGAAGGCAGGCCUCUGGGCCACUACUGACACUGAGGAGCGAAAGCGUGGGGAGCAAACAGGAUUAGAUACCCUGGUAGUCCACGCUGUAAACGGUGGGCACUAGUUGUGGGAACCUUCCACGGUUUCUGCGACGUAGCAAACGCAUUAAGUGCCCCGCCUGGGGAGUACGAUCGCAAGAUUAAAACUCAAAGGAAUUGACGG
This 547-nucleotide ribosomal RNA is filed under the name uncultured bacterium. RNAcentral's name for it is "bacterial SSU rRNA". It matches the Rfam family "Bacterial small subunit ribosomal RNA", at positions 358 to 916 of the family's 1533-position model. The record is from RNAcentral.